GUGAAUCAUCAAAUUUUUGAACGCAUAUUGCACUCUCUGGUAUUCCGGAGAGUAUGCCUAUUUGAGGGUCAUUUUAAAUAAUAUAAAUUCCAAGAUUUCUCGGAAUUUCAAAUGGGUUUUCCAUUUUUUGUGUUCUCCUAAAAUCCAAGACAAACUCAUUUUCUUGGGUUGCUUGAUACUUUCCGUUACCUCGUUACUUAACCUGGCCUCAUCGGGCGUGUUAUGCAUUUUCCAAGAUAUAAAAAAUUCCAUACAUUUAUCUCAUUCUCAUUAUAACUC
RNAcentral lists this unclassified non-coding RNA (279 nucleotides) under Ambisporaceae sp. RNAcentral's name for it is "partial contains 5.8S ribosomal RNA and internal transcribed spacer 2". The stretch from base 1 to 71 matches the Rfam family "5.8S ribosomal RNA", at positions 84 to 154 of the family's 154-position model. The record is from RNAcentral. Lineage: Eukaryota; Fungi; Glomeromycota; Glomeromycetes; Archaeosporales; Ambisporaceae.